RNAcentral lists this ribosomal RNA (908 nucleotides) under uncultured bacterium. Its description in RNAcentral is "bacterial SSU rRNA". It matches the Rfam family "Bacterial small subunit ribosomal RNA", at positions 1 to 904 of the family's 1533-position model. The record is from RNAcentral.
UAGAGUUUGAUCAUGGCUCAGGAUGAACGCUAGCGACAGGCUUAACACAUGCAAGUCGAGGGGCAGCGGGGAGGUAGCAAUACUUCCGCCGGCGACCGGCGCACGGGUGAGUAACACGUAUGGAACCUGCCCGUAGCAGGGGGAUAAGCGGAAGAAAUUCCGUCUAAUACCGCGUAAUAACUCCGAGAGGCAUCUCCUGGGGUUUAAAGGGUAACACCGGCUACGGAUGGCCAUGCGGCGCAUUAGCUAGUUGGCGGGGUAACGGCCCACCAAGGCGACGAUGCGUAGGGGUUCUGAGAGGAAGGUCCCCCACACUGGUACUGAGACACGGACCAGACUCCUACGGGAGGCAGCAGUGAGGAAUAUUGGUCAAUGGGCGCGAGCCUGAACCAGCCAAGUCGCGUGAGGGAAGACGGUCCUAUGGAUUGUAAACCUCUUUUGUCGGGGAGCAAAAGACGCCACGCGUGGCGUUCCGAGAGUACCCGAAGAAAAAGCAUCGGCUAACUCCGUGCCAGCAGCCGCGGUAAUACGGAGGAUGCGAGCGUUAUCCGGAUUUAUUGGGUUUAAAGGGUGCGCAGGCGGAAGAUCAAGUCAGCGGUAAAAUUGAGAGGCUCAACCUCUUCGAGCCGUUGAAACUGGUUUUCUUGAGUGAGCGAGAAGUAUGCGGAAUGCGUGGUGUAGCGGUGAAAUGCAUAGAUAUCACGCAGAACUCCGAUUGCGAAGGCAGCAUACCGGCGCUCAACUGACGCUCAUGCACGAAAGUGUGGGUAUCGAACAGGAUUAGAUACCCUGGUAGUCCACACAGUAAACGAUGAAUACUAAUUGUUCGGGGAGAAUGAUCCCUGAGUGAUACAGCGAAAGCGUUAAGUAUUCCACCUGGGGAGUACGCCGGCAACGGUGAAACUCAA